Molecule: long non-coding RNA, 1196 nt
Organism: Hippocampus comes (tiger tail seahorse)
Lineage: Eukaryota; Metazoa; Chordata; Actinopteri; Syngnathiformes; Syngnathidae
Exons: 2
Source: RefSeq, a predicted model, not a curated record
CGGCUAUUUCGCCUCGUACGGCCAAAUUGCUGUCGACUGGAAAUGACAUCACAGUGCGGAAGGGUUCACUUUGAGAAUGUCACAUGACCAAGCCCGACAGACAGGAUCAAAGCUAAUCUAUUUGACUGGGGCCUGCUGUCGCCACGACAACCAAGAUCACAGACAGGAAGCUUCACGGAUGCUUGUCAUCAACAAUGACACCACUCUGCAGCCGCGGACCCUCCGAGAACAAGCGCCCACCCCCCUCACACACACACACACCCGCCACCAUGUUAGUGUGCAUGUGGGCGGUGGGGGUAGUGGGGGGGGGGGUUAAUUCCACAAAGUACACCUUCUUCCGGUCUUUGCAUGUGUGUGCGUGUGUGUGUUCUGCUUGACAAGGCAUGUGUGUGUAUGUGGUCCAUCUGGAUGUCGCCAAGUUUUUUUUUUUUAAUAUGUUCAGUCAAACACAAGGGAAAAAGUUGUUUUAGUCAAACCUGAAUCAUCACUAUUCUUCAACUUUUUUCAAAAUGUAGUCAAAGUCUCCUGUAAUUAGUGUCUCCUCAAAGCGAAGCAUUUUUAUUGCUGUAGUAACUUGCCGAUGCUGGCGUGGUAGAGCGAUAUUUGGGAGGGAAAAAAAAAUCACAAUACAAUUUUUUGGGGGACAAAUUAGAUGUAAAGUGGUUGUCGAAAGAAAACCGUGAUGCACUAUCACAAUAUGCUUCUUGUUUAUCUCAGUCGUAACAGGACACAGCAAUUACAGGCUAGUUGAUAUAGAAGAAAAGCUUGUUAUACAGUAAUUUCUAUUCAGGGUGAUUGUAUCACGAUACAGUUCUAAUCGAUGGAUCUAAAAAUCAAAAGUGUCCUAAUGCAGCAUGUAAAUUGCUGUAGUGUAAGUAAACCCCAAUACAGUAUUAUCACAAUGUGGUUCAAGUGAUACCACUGGUAUCAUGAUACUGCAAUCAUUGGUGUAUUGAAAGAAAAUCACAACACAUUUGUUGUUGUUUUAUACAAUGGAAAACAGUAUAAAAGAAAGCUCUUACCUUGUCAUCUUGAUUUGUGCUGUAAUCGACCUGUUAUAAUCACAAUAAUUUUCCAAUGUUAAUCAUAGUACCAGCAUAAAAUAAUAACCAAUUAAAAGAAAAUAACAAUAUGAAAAUACAUUUCGAAUGAUACCGAUAGUAUCAUGAUACGACGAUAACUGAUAAAGAAAAAAA